CCUACGGGUGGCAGCAGUCGAGAAUCAUUCACAAUGGGGGAAACCCUGAUGGUGCGACGCCGCGUGGGGGAAUGAAGGUCUUCGGAUUGUAAACCCCUGUCAUGUGGGAGCAAAUUAAAAAGAUAGUACCACAAGAGGAAGAGACGGCUAACUCUGUGCCAGCAGCCGCGGUAAUACAGAGGUCUCAAGCAUUGUUCGGAAUCACUGGGCGUAAGGCGUGCGUAGGCUGUUUCGUAAGUCGUGUGUGAAAGGCGCGGGCUCAACCCGCGGACGGCACAUGAUACUGCGAGACUAGAGUAAUGGAGGGGGAACCGGAAUUCUCGGUGUAGCAGUGAAAUGCGUAGAUAUCGAGAGGAACACUCGUGGCGAAGGCGGGUUCCUGGACAUUAACUGACGCUGAGGCACGAAGGCCAGGGGAGCGAAAGGGAUUAGAUACCCGGGUAGUC
Molecule: ribosomal RNA, 446 nt
Filed under: uncultured bacterium
Lineage: Bacteria
Description: partial 16S ribosomal RNA
Rfam family: Bacterial small subunit ribosomal RNA
Source: RNAcentral